Molecule: ribosomal RNA, 305 nt
Filed under: Listeria monocytogenes
Lineage: Bacteria; Bacillati; Bacillota; Bacilli; Caryophanales; Listeriaceae
Description: partial 16S ribosomal RNA
Rfam family: Bacterial small subunit ribosomal RNA
Source: RNAcentral
AAUGGAUAGUACAAAGGGUCGCGAAGCCGCGAGGUGGAGCUAAUCCCAUAAAACUAUUCUCAGUUCGGAUUGUAGGCUGCAACUCGCCUACAUGAAGCCGGAAUCGCUAGUAAUCGUGGAUCAGCAUGCCACGGUGAAUACGUUCCCGGGCCUUGUACACACCGCCCGUCACACCACGAGAGUUUGUAACACCCGAAGUCGGUAGGGUAACCUUUAUGGAGCCAGCCGCCGAAGGUGGGACAGAUAAUUGGGGUGAAGUCGUAACAAGGUAGCCGUAUCGGAAGGUGCGGCUGGAUCACCUCCUU